CACGCCGUAAACGAUGAAUGCUAGGUGUCGGGGGUCACACCUCGGUGCCGCAGUUAACACAUUAAGCAUUCCGCCUGGGGAGUACGCGCGCAAGCGUGAAACUCAAAGGAAUUGACGGGGACCCGCACAAGCAGCGGAGCAUGUGGUUUAAUUCGAAGCAACGCGAAGAACCUUACCAGGUCUUGACAUCCUUUGCACGUUUUAGAGAUAGAACAUUCCCUUCGGGGACAAAGAGACAGGUGG
RNAcentral lists this ribosomal RNA (243 nucleotides) under uncultured Eubacteriales bacterium. RNAcentral describes it as "uncultured Clostridiales bacterium partial 16S ribosomal RNA". It matches the Rfam family "Bacterial small subunit ribosomal RNA", at positions 796 to 1041 of the family's 1533-position model. Lineage: Bacteria; Bacillati; Bacillota; Clostridia; Eubacteriales. The record is from RNAcentral.